CAGAAAUGUUUCCGAUGCUGCGACUGCUGUGUGUCCUGCUGCUCCAUGUAACAGCUGCAGGUUCUUUGGCCGUUCCUGUCCUCAAUCAGAGUCCAGUGGCUGACCCACUCUCUGCCGGUCAGACUGUCCAAGUGAAGUGCGUGAUGCAGAACGCUCUUAUUUUGGAUUCUUGGCGAGCCACCGCAUUGGAAUGACCCUCUGUGAUUCAUUUUCGGUGGUGGGACCACUCUGA
Long non-coding RNA from Hemiscyllium ocellatum (epaulette shark), 232 nucleotides. RefSeq lists it as uncharacterized. The transcript is spliced from 3 exons. NCBI's taxonomy places the organism in Eukaryota, Metazoa, Chordata, Chondrichthyes, Orectolobiformes, Hemiscylliidae. The record is from RefSeq and is a predicted model, not a curated record.